Molecule: ribosomal RNA, 253 nt
Filed under: uncultured bacterium
Lineage: Bacteria
Description: partial 16S ribosomal RNA
Rfam family: Bacterial small subunit ribosomal RNA
Source: RNAcentral
UACGGAGGGUGCGAACGUUAAUCGGAAUCACUGGGCGUAAAGCGCGCGUAGGCGGUCUGUUAAGUGGGAUGUGAAAUCCCCGGGCUUAACCUGGGAAUUGCAUUUCAAACUGGCCGACUAGAGUACGGUAGGGGGAGGUAGAAUUUCCUGUGUAGCGGUGAAAUGCGUAGAUAUAGGAAGGAAUACCAGUGGCGAAGGCGGCCUCCUGGAUCGAUACUGACGCUGAGGCGCGAAAGCGUGGGGAGCAAACAGG